UACGUAGGGUGCGAGCGUUGUCCGGAAUUAUUGGGCGUAAAGGGUUCGCAGGCGGCCUUGUAAGUCAGAUGUGAAAGACAGCGGCUUAACCGUUGUAAGCAUUUGAAACUGCAGGGCUUGAGUACAGGAGAGGAAAGCGGAAUUCCUAGUGUAGCGGUGAAAUGCGUAGAUAUUAGGAGGAACACCAGUGGCGAAGGCGGCUUUCUGGACUGAUACUGACGCUGAGGAACGAAAGCGUGGGGAGCAAACAGGAUUAGAUACCCCUGUAGU
This 270-nucleotide ribosomal RNA is filed under the name uncultured prokaryote. Its description in RNAcentral is "partial 16S ribosomal RNA". It matches the Rfam family "Bacterial small subunit ribosomal RNA", at positions 524 to 794 of the family's 1533-position model. The record is from RNAcentral.